CUUAGCCCUUUAGACUGGGAUAACAGAGGGAAACUUCUGAUAAUACUGGAUAAGUUAGUAUAUCGCAUGAUAUGCAAAUGAAAGCUACGGCACUAAAGGAGAGCUUUGCGUCCUAUUAGCUAGUUGGUAAGGUAAGAGCUUACCAAGGCGAUGAUAGGUAGCCGGCCUGAGAGGGUGGACGGCCACAAGGGGACUGAGAUACGGCCCUUACUCCUACGGGAGGCAGCAGCG
RNAcentral lists this ribosomal RNA (231 nucleotides) under uncultured Leptotrichia sp. Its description in RNAcentral is "partial 16S ribosomal RNA". It matches the Rfam family "Bacterial small subunit ribosomal RNA", at positions 124 to 356 of the family's 1533-position model. Lineage: Bacteria; Fusobacteriati; Fusobacteriota; Fusobacteriia; Fusobacteriales; Leptotrichiaceae. The record is from RNAcentral.